RNAcentral lists this ribosomal RNA (497 nucleotides) under uncultured bacterium. RNAcentral's name for it is "partial 16S ribosomal RNA". It matches the Rfam family "Bacterial small subunit ribosomal RNA", at positions 28 to 507 of the family's 1533-position model. The record is from RNAcentral.
GAUGAACGCUGGCGGCGUGCCUAAUACAUGCAAGUCGAGCGAACAGACGAGGAGCUUGCUCCUUUGACGUUAGCGGCGGACGGGUGAGUAACACGUAGGUAACCUACCUAUAAGACUGGGAUAACUUCGGGAAACCGGAGCUAAUACCGGAUAAUAUUUCGAACCGCAUGGUUCGAUAGUGAAAGAUGGCUUUGCUGUCACUUAUAGAUGGACCUGCGCCGUAUUAGCUAGUUGGUAAGGUAACGGCUUACCAAGGCAACGAUACGUAGCCGACCUGAGAGGGUGAUCGGCCACACUGGAACUGAGACACGGUCCAGACUCCUACGGGAGGCAGCAGUAGGGAAUCUUCCGCAAUGGGCGAAAGCCUGACGGAGCAACGCCGCGUGAGUGAUGAAGGUCUUCGGAUCGUAAAACUCUGUUAUUAGGGAAGAACAAACGUGUAAGUAACUGUGCACGUCUUGACGGUACCUAAUCAGAAAGCCACGGCUAACUACGUG